Molecule: unclassified non-coding RNA, 1950 nt
Filed under: Cyanidioschyzon merolae strain 10D
Lineage: Eukaryota; Rhodophyta; Bangiophyceae; Cyanidiales; Cyanidiaceae
Description: hypothetical transcript
Source: RNAcentral
AAGUGAGCGUGAAACACCUGCUCGAGGUGCCCGUGGACGCACUGGGUCUCGUGGACGAACCCCGUGGACCGCGAUGUCGCCAUGUUCAUAUCGUCUCGCUCUAUCUCUCUCUCUCUUACUGUGUAUGUAUGUGUGUGUGUGUGUUUGUGUAUCUGCGCACUAGGUCGAUACGCCAUCCCCCUGGAAUGAUCCAUUUCCCGAUCUCGACUCAUCGGACGGCAACCGCUGAAAGGCGAGGCAGGUAUUUGUCCCGUAGAAUCCGAACGAGUUGCUUAGUGCGAUUCGAAGCGGACUGCUCUCGGGCCAGUAAUAAUGCGCAUGAUGCCCAAUGAAGCGCAAGCCAGCGGUGGUGGUGUCCGUGGUGGCCGACAUCUCCAGGCCCACGUCAAUGUCGUGCAGGUUCAACGUUCCGGGUACGCACUGGUGAUGCACCGCCAGUAACGUGAAGGCAGCCUCGAGAGCGCCCGCUGCUCCGAGUAAAUGCCCAGUGGCGCCUUUUGUCGACGUCACGACUGGAGCCGGCUCCUCUGCGCCGAAAACUCGCCCAAUCGCUUUGGCUUCGACGGCGUCACCCAACGGCGUCGACGUUGCAUGCGCGUUCACGUACCCGACGGCUGACCGAGGAAUACCCCGGAGGGCCAUUUCCAUACAUCGCUGGGCGCCAAUGCCUUCCGGAUGAGGUGCUGUCACAUGGUACGCGUCGCUGCUCAGGCCGUAUCCAACGAGUUCGCCAUAGGUCGUGUGCGGCUGGGCUUGUCUUCGUGUACGAGCGUGUUCCAGAUCCUCCAGAACAAGUACACAGGCGCCUUCGCCGAGCACGAAACCCGAACGUCGACGAUCAAAUGGACGACUGGACUGCUCGGGCUCAUCUGCAAACUGGGUGGUAAGUGCCCGGGCCCUGGAAAACCCCAACAAUGCCAACUCGUGAAUACAUGCCUCUGUUCCGCCGGCGAUACACACUGUCGCAUCGCCUCGUUGAAUGAGUCGGUACGCGUCACCGAUAGCAUGUGCACCCGCAGCACAAGCAGUGCUCGGUGAUAGACUGGGACCCUUCAGACCAAACCAUAACGCCACGUAACCGGCGGCUGCGUUCAGCAGGAUGCGAGGCACGAAAUGCGGUGACAGGUGUCGACCCGACUGGUGACGGUUCACGCUCUCAACCAGAUCGCUCAGGGAUACCAUACCUGCACCGAUAACGACGCCCGAGUCGGUUGCGUUCAGCGUCGCUGGCGAAAGCGCAGCAUCUUGGAUCGCCUCAUGUGCUGCGAGAACGGCGUACUGGAUACUGAGCGGUGCUCGUAAAAUAUCCGCGGGGGUCAGUUUGCGCUCAUGCAGACCAGUUGCUAUCGCUGUGCUCGUUGUUUUCGAUGCGAAUACCUGCGACUCAAGUCGUUCGAGUACGCCGGCACGAUCGACUUGGGCUGCGAUUUGCACCGGCAGCCCGGUGGGGUCAAAAACACUGAUCCGUUGGACGCCACUUUGGCCGCGGAAAAGUGCGUCCCAGCACAUGCGGGUACACAGGCCCAAUGGCGACACCAUGCCGAUACCGGUCACGACAACCCGGCGUCCAGCGUGGACAAGUUCGUGCGACAUCCCGCUAGCCCCGAUGACGGACAGAGGAAACGGUGACUGCGAGUCGUGUCCGUCAAGCCGAAAGGUCAGCGCAGGGCUCUGGUGAUCAGGUGACGUAGGUGUGUGUGUGUGUUCUUCAGGUCGCUGACCGGUGGAUUCCGGGUCUGGGUAACGCACCCCAAGUCGUUUGCGAUUUGUUCGUUGUUAUAUGAGAGACAACUCCCUUGGAUUCAGUGAUUGCGAGCGUCUUUCACACCCUGUGACGUCUAGUACGCAGCAAAGCUAAACAGGGACCUACUUAUGUCCAAAGUGACCCAUUAGAGAGAAUUCCAGGUCGCCGAACAAUCCCGUCGUUAGAGACUGGCACUAAAGAAUAAC